GGCUGGUCCGAAAGUAAUGAUUUAUCUCACUUGAUUGUUCACAGUAAGUUACUGAUUGAACUCCUUGUUCUACUACUUCCCCCUUUCUCACUACUGCACUUGAAAAUCUGUA
This 112-nucleotide Y RNA is filed under the name Propithecus coquereli (Coquerel's sifaka). RNAcentral's name for it is "Y RNA (ENSPCOG00000005349.1)". It matches the Rfam family "Y RNA". Rfam says of the family: Y RNAs are components of the Ro ribonucleoprotein particle (Ro RNP), in association with Ro60 and La proteins. The record is from Rfam by way of RNAcentral. Lineage: Eukaryota; Metazoa; Chordata; Mammalia; Primates; Indriidae.